UAUCAUCUUAAGCUAUCAGACCGGCAGGAGCCAGGAGGAAGGGGAAAGCCACACCCUUUCCUGCUUUAAUUCCAUCACUCAACAAGGGCUCCCGAUGCCCUCGCGGUGCCAGGUGCUGCCCUGAGCCCCAGGGAGAACUUCAGCGAGGCAGGUACAGACCAGGCAAAGGAGGAUUGCUUCAAGAGCGGUGUGAUAACCUGGGCGGUGCCGCUGGACGGAGGGCAGAUCUUUGCAGGACCGGGAGAAAACCUGCGUUAGAAAUGUGACAGGGACACCAGUCUGCUUGCCAGGAUUAGAUGCACCACAAAGACACAGAGCUGCAGCCUCGCCAGGAUGGACCCCACCAAACACAGUGCACAUGGGCCCAGGAAACAUGAAACAAGUUCAAGUCUGAGCAGACACAUUAAUUGCGCUUUGCUAUCCGCAUACACAAGUAAUGUUUGGGGGCACAUACUGUGACUACUUUGGCCUCUCCCUCCAUACGUGUCUAUCAAUGAAACAUGCCCCUCACAACGUCGGAGGAAGAGUGUCACACUGUUGUUACAAAGGGGCAGAAGACACCUUCUCAAAUGACCCUCCUACCACAUUUCAUUGAUUCUGGAACUGCCUCCUCCAAUUUAUGAACCGGCCAAAGGCUUUCUGUACCUGGAAUUUGCUCCAUCCAGCCUUGGAAACAGAAAAGUGUGUGGCUGGGUCAGAACCCGACCUUACAAUCUUAACCACUUCACAGAGCCACACAGCCUGGCAAUCUUCCCUGCGCUGACCUGAGCGCACGUCUCCAGGGCGUGGGCGCCAUGUCCAGACUCCCCCUGUCACUUACCUGUGAAGUCCUUCUGUCCGGCAGCCUCUCUCUGGGGAGAUUCGCCCUUGCAGAAUGAACACUUGCCUGUCGCACACGCCUUCCUGGGGGCCUACUUUGUCCUCCCCAGCUCCCCUUUUUGAAUGGGACGCCAUUCCUAGCACCUGCGCCAACCUGGCAAUGGUGGCCCCCUUUCUACCCUCUGCCACUCCCGGUCCUACCACACCUGCCGUUCAUGCCUCAAACAUCUAAGCCCAGCCCUGAUGUUCCUUGUGCUGAACUUGGCUUGAACCUGAGCAGGUGUGUCCCCUAAAGGACAAGUCAAAUCUGGGCUUGUCUGGAAGCCUGGGGGUGGGGGUGCUGACCUGGGGGCCAGUGCAGGAGAGAAACAAAUGUCUCCUGGGAAAGAGGUCAAGGCCGAAGGGGAGACACAGGUGUGAGGGCACAGCUGCGGGGCCAGGAGGGAGGGGUGACACCGGGUGGAUUGCAGUGUCUGUCACCGGGGCCUCCAUGCCUGAGUCACAGGAGGCAGAGGGCAGGAUGGAAGAAUGGAGAACAGAACCAGCACUCACCCGCCCAGCACCAAGGCGGCGUGGGCAGUGCUGGCUCCACGGCUUGGCCAUUUGUCUUUUUCCUCCUGAGGAUGACUUAGAUAUUCUUUCCGGUAAACUGCUUGUUCUUCUGCUUUGUGAUGUACGGGAGCUCUUAUAGCCAAUGAUUAGCAGCCUUGUUUUCUAUGUUGCAAACAGUUAUACACAGCUUUCUUCCAGGGAGCUGCUGGUUUUUUAACUACCUGUAUGGUAUCUUUUUGUAUCCUGGCAUUUUAACUAUUUAUGUAGUCCGUCUAUCAGUCUGACACAGGGUGAAGGCUGAGCAGGGGUCCUUGGGUGCCCCAAAUGCUGUUUCCAGAUCUCGCCCUGGUGAUGUGGGUGUGUUCCCUUGGUGAAAAUUCAUGGAGCUGUACAUUUAGGAUUUGUUCAUUUUCAUAUAUACUUCAAUAAAAAAUAUGUUCUUUAAUCUA
This is a long non-coding RNA of Suricata suricatta (meerkat), 1820 nucleotides long. RefSeq lists it as uncharacterized. The transcript has 2 exons. NCBI's taxonomy places the organism in Eukaryota, Metazoa, Chordata, Mammalia, Carnivora, Herpestidae. The record is from RefSeq and is a predicted model, not a curated record.